RNAcentral lists this long non-coding RNA (432 nucleotides) under Physcomitrium patens. RNAcentral's name for it is "long non-coding RNA (PPAT_LNC012938)". Lineage: Eukaryota; Viridiplantae; Streptophyta; Bryopsida; Funariales; Funariaceae. The record is from RNAcentral.
AAAUCCACAUUAAUGUCCGUUGAUUGCCGCCUAGAAAGUUGAUGACAAACCUUGACUUGCAAUUUCUCCUUCUCCAACCAUUAAUUCUCAUUCAAACCUUGUGUACAGCUCCACCUUUAAGUCCUCAACUUACCACGUCAAAUUUCACCUUAUUCUAUUUGAUUGAUCUCCAGAUAUUAUAGAAAUCCUAAAUGAUCAUAAAAAUCCGACUUCUGAUACCUCUUUACACUAAUGAUCAAAUAUCUUCUAUCCGUACCAUUAGAUUAACACAAAUUUUUGCAAGCACUUGGCAUACUCAACUAUCUAGACACCUCUAAUAUUUCAAUCAUAGAUGUUUCUCCAAUUUCACAAAACAGUCAAGAAUACUAGCCUUAACUUUAUUGCAAAAAAAAAACCCAAUUCACCAAUACAAACACUGACUUUGUGCAACGA